AGCAGCCGCGGUAAUUCCAGCUCCAAUAGCGUAUAUUAAAGUUGUUGCAGUUAAAAGCUCGUAGUUGAAUUUCGGGGUCAGCAGGUCGGUCGUGCCUACGGUAUGCACUGGUCUUGCUGAUUUCCUCCCUCUUGAUGAGCCGUAAUGUCAUUAAUUUGGUGUUGCGGGGAAUCAGGACUGUUACUUUGAAAAAUUAGAGUGUUAAGCAGGCAAGCGCUUGAAUACAUUAGCAUGGAAUAAUGAAAUAGGACGUUCGAUCCCUAUUUUGUUGGUUUCUAGGAUUGACGUAAUGACUAAUAGGGAUAGUUGGGGGCAUUAGUAUUCAAUUGUCAGAGGUGAAAUUCUUGGAUUUAUUGAAGACUAACUACUGCGAAAGCAUUUGCCAAGGACGUUUUCAUUAAUCAAGAACGAAGUUAGGGAUCGAAGACGAUCAGAUACCGUCGUAGUCUUAACCAUAAACUAUGCCGACUAGGGAUCGGAUGAUGUUAAUUUUUUAAUGACUCAUUUCGGCGCCUUACGG
This 520-nucleotide ribosomal RNA is filed under the name uncultured Glomus. Its description in RNAcentral is "SSU rRNA". It matches the Rfam family "Eukaryotic small subunit ribosomal RNA", at positions 569 to 1093 of the family's 1831-position model. The record is from RNAcentral. Lineage: Eukaryota; Fungi; Glomeromycota; Glomeromycetes; Glomerales; Glomeraceae.